Molecule: ribosomal RNA, 598 nt
Filed under: uncultured Cortinarius
Lineage: Eukaryota; Fungi; Basidiomycota; Agaricomycetes; Agaricales; Cortinariaceae
Description: eukaryotic LSU rRNA
Rfam family: 5.8S ribosomal RNA (bases 183-336)
Source: RNAcentral
GUCAUCUUUAUAUCUCCACCUGUGCACCUUUUGUAGACCUGGACAAGUUUCUUGAUGCCUAGCAUUAAGGUUUUGGGAUUGACUUUUGUCUUUCCUUAUAUUUCCGGGUCUAUGUUUAUUCAUAUACCCUAAUGUAUGUUAUAGAAUGUAAUAAGUGGGCCUUUGUGCCUAUAACACUAUACAACUUUCAGCAACGGAUCUCUUGGCUCUCGCAUCGAUGAAGAACGCAGCGAAAUGCGAUAAGUAAUGUGAAUUGCAGAAUUCAGUGAAUCAUCGAAUCUUUGAACGCACCUUGCGCUCCUUGGUAUUCCGAGGAGCAUGCCUGUUUGAGUGUCAUUAAUAUAUCAACCUCUUCAGCUUUUGCUUGUUGAGUGUUGGAUGUGGGGGGCUUUUUUGCUGGUCUUUUAAAGAGGUCAGCUCCCCUAAAAUGUAUUAGCGGAACAAUUUGUUGACCGUUCAUUGGUGUGAUAAUUAUCUACGCUAUUGACGUGAGGCAGUUCAGCUUCUAACAGUCCAUUGGCUUGGACACUUUUUUCAUUAAUGUGACCUCAAAUCAGGUAGGACUACCCGCUGAACUUAAGCAUAUCAAUAAGCCGGA